This 627-nucleotide ribosomal RNA is filed under the name uncultured bacterium. RNAcentral describes it as "bacterial SSU rRNA". The stretch from base 1 to 541 matches the Rfam family "Bacterial small subunit ribosomal RNA", at positions 338 to 873 of the family's 1533-position model. The record is from RNAcentral.
CCUACGGGAGGCAGCAGUGGGGAAUUUUGGACAAUGGGCGCAAGCCUGAUCCAGCCAUGCCGCGUGUGGGAAGAAGGCCUUCGGGUUGUAAACCACUUUUGUCAGGGAAGAAACGGUCUGAACUAAUACUUUGGACUAAUGACGGUACCUGAAGAAUAAGCACCGGCUAACUACGUGCCAGCAGCCGCGGUAAUACGUAGGGUGCAAGCGUUAAUCGGAAUUACUGGGCGUAAAGCGUGCGCAGGCGGCUUUGCAAGACAGAUGUGAAAUCCCCGGGCCCAACCUGGGAACUGCAUUUGUGACUGCAUGGCUAGAGUACGGUAGAGGGGGAUGGAAUUCCGCGUGUAGCAGUGAAAUGCGUAGAUAUGCGGAGGAACACCGAUGGCGAAGGCAAUCCCCUGGACCUGUACUGACGCUCAUGCACGAAAGCGUGGGGAGCAAACAGGAUUAGAUACCCUGGUAGUCCACGCCCUAAACGAUGUCAACUGGUUGUUGGACGGCUUGCUGUUCAGUACGAAGCUAACGCGUGAAGUUGACCGCCUGGGGAGGUAACGGUCGCGAGUUAGUAACGUUACGAAGUAGAGUUGACGGCGNGAGACGNGCGACGGACGACGACGAGGGAGGAGG